This 433-nucleotide ribosomal RNA is filed under the name uncultured bacterium. Its description in RNAcentral is "partial 16S ribosomal RNA". It matches the Rfam family "Bacterial small subunit ribosomal RNA", at positions 29 to 507 of the family's 1533-position model. The record is from RNAcentral.
AACGAACGCUGGCGGCAGGCUUAAUACAUGCAAGUCGAGCGGGCACUUCGGUGUCAGCGGCGCACGGGUGCGUAACGCGUGGGAACAUGCCUUUAGGUACGGAACAACCAAGGGAAACUUUGGCUAAUACCGUAUAAUAUCCCUGGAUCAAAGAUUUAUCGCCUAAAGAUUGGCCCGCGUUAGAUUAGGUAGUUGGUGGGGUAAUGGCCUACCACGCCGACGAUCUAUAGGGGGUCUGAGAGGAUGAUCCCCCACACUGGAACUGAGACACGGUCCAGACUCCUACGGGAGGCAGCAGUAAGGAAUAUUGGACAAUGGGCGAAAGCCUGAUCCAGCCAUGACGCGUGAGUGAUGAAGGCCUUAGGGUUGUAAAGCUCUUUUAGAUGGGAAGAUAAUGACUGUACCAUCAGAAUAAGCCCCGGCUAAAUUCGUG